Molecule: unclassified non-coding RNA, 319 nt
Organism: Ursus americanus (American black bear)
Lineage: Eukaryota; Metazoa; Chordata; Mammalia; Carnivora; Ursidae
Gene: 7SK
Rfam family: 7SK RNA
About the family: 7SK was discovered as an abundant small nuclear RNA in the mid-70s but a possible function has only recently been suggested. Two independent studies have found that 7SK RNA binds the CDK9/cyclin T complex (known as elongation factor P-TEFb).
Source: Ensembl
GGAUGUGAGGGUGAUCUGACUAGGACAUCUGUCGCCCCAUUGAUUGCCAGGGUUGAUUGGGCUGAUCUGGCUGGCGGCUGUCCCCUUCCUCCCUCACUGCUCCAUGUGCAUCCCUCCCAAAGCUGCAUGCUCAGUGGAAGAGGAUGACCCUGACAGAGGAGGACUGUUGUUCGGUCAAGGGUAUGGGAGUAGCUGCGUUCCCCUGCUAGAACCUCCAGACAAGCUGUCAAGUCCAUUUGUAGGAGAACAUAGGGUAGUCAGGUUUCCAAGACCAGAUACGUCCAAAUGAGGCACUGCAUGUGGCAGUCUGCCCUUCUAA